RNAcentral lists this ribosomal RNA (301 nucleotides) under uncultured bacterium. Its description in RNAcentral is "partial 16S ribosomal RNA". It matches the Rfam family "Bacterial small subunit ribosomal RNA", at positions 509 to 808 of the family's 1533-position model. The record is from RNAcentral.
CAGUCGCCGCGGGAAUACGAAGGGUGCAAGCGUUAAUCGGAAUUACUGGGCGUAAAGCGUGCGUAGGCGGUUUGUUAAGUCUGCUGUGAAAUCCCCGGGCUCAACCUGGGAAUGGCAGUGGAUACUGGCAAGCUAGAGUGUGUCAGAGGAUGGUGGAAUUCCCGGUGUAGCGGUGAAAUGCGUAGAGAUCGGGAGGAACAUCAGUGGCGAAGGCGGCCAUCUGGGACAACACUGACGCUGAGGCACGAAAGCGUGGGGAGCAAACAGGAUUAGAUACCCCGUAGUCCCUGUCUCUUAUACA